GUGGGCUGGAGAGAUGGCUCAGAGG
This 25-nucleotide non-coding RNA is filed under the name Cricetulus griseus (Chinese hamster). RNAcentral also lists the same sequence under 1 other name. Lineage: Eukaryota; Metazoa; Chordata; Mammalia; Rodentia; Cricetidae. The record is from RNAcentral.